GAUGAACGCUGGCGGCGUGCCUAAUACAUGCAAGUCGAGCGAACGGACGAGGAGCUUGCUUUUCUGAUGUUAGCGGCGGACGGGUGAGUAACACGUGGAUAACCUACCUAUAAGACUGGGAUAACUUCGGGAAACCGGAGCUAAUACCGGAUAAUAUUUUGAACCGCAUUGUUCAAAAGUGAAAGACGGUCUUGCUGUCACUUAUAGAUGGAUCCGCGCUGCAUUAGCUAGUUGGUAAGGUAACGGCUUACCAAGGCAACGAUGCAUAGCCGACCUGAGAGAGUGAUCGGCCACACUGGAACUGAGACACGGUCCAGACUCCUACGGGAGGCAGCAGUAGGGAAGCUUCCGCAAUGGGCGAAAGCCUGACGGAGCAACGCCGCGUGAGUGAUGAAGGUCUUCGGAUCGUAAAACUCUGUUAUUAGGGAAGAACAUAUGUGUAAGUAACUGUGCACAUCUUGACGGUACCUAAUCAGAAAGCCACGGCUAACUACGUG
Molecule: ribosomal RNA, 497 nt
Filed under: uncultured bacterium
Lineage: Bacteria
Description: partial 16S ribosomal RNA
Rfam family: Bacterial small subunit ribosomal RNA
Source: RNAcentral